This 86-nucleotide transfer RNA is filed under the name Dreissena polymorpha. It matches the Rfam family "tRNA". Rfam says of the family: Transfer RNA (tRNA) molecules are approximately 80 nucleotides in length. Lineage: Eukaryota; Metazoa; Mollusca; Bivalvia; Myida; Dreissenidae. The record is from Rfam by way of RNAcentral.
GCCGGAAUAACUCAGAAGAGCGUUAGACUGAAGUUGCUUACGCAACAAUCAUCUAAAGGCCCCCGGUUCAAUCCCGGGUUCCAGCA